UUCCCGUGUUACUGAAAGCCCCGGCUGCAGAGGCAGGUUUAUUUAUAGAUGGGAAAUUAGAGUUAUUUAGCUUGAGCUCUUUGCAACCAGCAGCCCAUGACUGUAGGAGCAUCCACAUCCACUGCACCAUCGUCUGAUCCCCCCGCACCCUGUAAUCAUUAAUUAGACACUCAAAACCAUGCCCACUGGAUGUCUGUGGAGAGAGAAGCCCCAUCCAGCCCUUUUCCAUCAGAAACCAGAGUCUUCCGAGCUCAGACUCCCACACACCAACUACUUACUAGAGAGUUCUGCCUGGAGAUUUCGCAAUCCCGUUAGAUGCGGCCAAGAGUGAACUCACUCACAACCCCCAACCUCUUCCUGAUUGUGGUGAAUGGAGCCAGCAUUCCCCAGACUCCAAUCUGGAGAGCUGUCCUGGCCUCCCUGCAUCCCAUCUGUCGCCAUCAGCUAGAUCCACAGUGCUCCUCUCAUCUCCUCUGAUGCAGGACAAGGCAGAAUUCUGCACGUCCUCCUAUGUUCUUGAAGUUUCUGGAACACAGGUCUUUGAUGCCUGUCCUCUUGGGACUGGAAUGCUGACUCAAGGUCUGGAGCUGGAGCAGCCUUCUGUGGCCAUGAGAAAGAAGCCACCUGUUGAAAAGGGUAGAACAAAACACAAGGAACACAGAGUUCUGAGAGCCAGCAUACCAGACUUGGGUUGCCUAUUUACGUGAGAGAUAAAGACAUUUUUUUUUUUUUUAAAAACAGUUAUUUUUCUGAUGUGAAAAAAUUGCCUUUUGGGAAACUUGACAUUCUGUUCUC
This is a non-coding RNA of Ictidomys tridecemlineatus (thirteen-lined ground squirrel), 795 nucleotides long. The record is from RefSeq and is a predicted model, not a curated record. Lineage: Eukaryota; Metazoa; Chordata; Mammalia; Rodentia; Sciuridae.